RNAcentral lists this transfer RNA (73 nucleotides) under Stegodyphus mimosarum. It matches the Rfam family "tRNA". Rfam says of the family: Transfer RNA (tRNA) molecules are approximately 80 nucleotides in length. Their secondary structure includes four short double-helical elements and three loops (D, anti-codon, and T loops). The record is from Rfam by way of RNAcentral. Lineage: Eukaryota; Metazoa; Arthropoda; Arachnida; Araneae; Eresidae.
GCCUUCGUGGUGUAAUGGUCAACACACUCGGCGCGUAUUCGAGAGAUCCUGGGUUCGAGUCUCGGCGAGGACA